RNAcentral lists this ribosomal RNA (414 nucleotides) under uncultured bacterium. RNAcentral describes it as "bacterial SSU rRNA". It matches the Rfam family "Bacterial small subunit ribosomal RNA", at positions 337 to 761 of the family's 1533-position model. The record is from RNAcentral.
UCCUACGGGAGGCAGCAGUGGGGAAUAUUGCGCAAUGGGCGGAAGCCUGACGCAGCGACGCCGCGUGGGGGAUGACGGCCUUCGGGUUGUAAACCUCUUUCGACAGGGACGAAGGGUGACUGACGGUACCUGUAGAAGAAGCACCGGCCAACUACGUGCCAGCAGCCGCGGUAAUACGUAGGGUGCCAGCGUUGUCCGGAAUUAUUGGGCGUAAAGAGCUCGUAGGCGGUGUGUCACGUCGGUCGUGAAAACUUUCAGGCUUAACUGGGAGCUUGCCGUCGAUACGGGCAUCACUGGAGUUCGGCAGGGGAGACUGGAAUUCAAGGUGUAGCGGUGAAAUGCGCAGAUAUCUUGAGGAACACCGGUGGCGAAGGCGGGUCUCUGGGCCGAUACUGACGCUGAGGAGCGAAAGCG